Non-coding RNA from Phalacrocorax carbo (great cormorant), 2672 nucleotides. Lineage: Eukaryota; Metazoa; Chordata; Aves; Suliformes; Phalacrocoracidae. The record is from RefSeq and is a predicted model, not a curated record.
CAAACCAGUACAAAGGUCAUUUCCGCGCUGGUUUCAACGAGUGCGCUCAUAAGCAGAAGUUUUGGCAACUUUGUACUAAGAAGAUUUUACUGUCCCUGUAGGAAAGAAGCGGCGGUCUUGGAGGCAUCAGGGGGUGUGCAGAAAGAAAAUCCGUCCUGUGGUCAGCAAAAACCAGCUCCUCCUAAGAUACCACCUCUGGUGUUAAAAAUACCUCUUCACUUGUCACUUGUCACGCAGGACCUGUCUGGCUUCGCCGUGCUGACAUGCCGCGCACCAUUUGCCAGCAGCUGUAUCUAAGCACAGGGAAUCAGCCAGCAAAUUCCCAUUUUUGUGACAUAUUUACCCUGUGAACUGCUCCCCCUCAUCUAACAGGGCCCCAGCAAAGGAAGAGCUCACGCCGCCUCCGCACCUCCCUGCGGGCUGGGGCAGCUCACGCUGCAACCCAGAGAGAAAAGCCACGGCACUCACUGUCCUCUGGACCUCCGAGCUCUCCUUGGACUACACACGGUUUGGACUUCGUGCACCUCCUUUGCAAGUGUGCACAUAUAACGGGUAAAAUCUUGGCCUUCUGAAAAAUCAGUGGUACUUCUGGAAUCCUGGCUCGGCUGAAGCGGUGGCAUCUGCAGCUAUCAACACUGCUGCAGGUCUACACUGCUGGGGUCAUGUCUGACAAAAGCAUUUUGUUAAGUAAAACAACUUUCUAUAGGAACAUACUAAAUUUAUUAAGCUCUGAUUGAUAAAGUUGUUUGUUUUUUUUUUAUGCUGAGAUGCAGUACCUGGUCAAAAUGAGAAACAGAUGCACUCCAGAGCAGUCAGUGGGUUGAUGAUGAGGAUGCUGGCAUGGGUUAAACCAGGUUUUAACCUGUCUACAUUGGUCACUGCAACCUACAGCCUGAAAAAUGGCUGGAAAUCACACUCCUGGCAGCUCAGAAUUUCUCAUAAAUAAUAAGUUUCAUACCCAAUUCUACUCUCCGCUACUUUCAGGCAAAAAUUCCCAAUGAAGACGGUGCCUCAGGAGAGCAGUUAGUGAAGCACUUUGCCAUGACAGUAUUUAGGAUGAAAACCCUAUUUUGCUGUGACAUAUUGUUCAACCUCCUUCUUCCCUGCCCCCUUAGUUUCCCCCUCUAUUUUCCUGUAGAUUUUGCUAAGCACUUGCACGCAAAACCAUUAGCCAGUGAUGACAAUGUAAGUGUGUUGUGGAAAGCCCAGAGGAGAAUCCUUCAGAGUCUGAAACCUCGUACUGAUGGACUCAAAAAACCACAUGCAGUUAUUUUUUCUGUAGCUCAACCAUGAAUUAUGUAUUGUUCAUAUGGAUGCCACUGGGAACAUCAAUCACAAGUCCUCUCUCAAGCCUCCUCAAUACCCCUGUCAGCUGACACCUGGGCUACAGGCACUUAAAUACUACAACCCACGACGCCGUUCCUCGCACUGCUCAGUUCACCUCCUUGCCCACUGAGACACAAGCAACCUGUAAUGUCUCGCUGCCAUCAGAAACAUUACUCCGGGAAGUGCUGCAGGUCUGUUUAGCAGAGCAGAGAUUGGAGCUUCUCCCUCUGAGGAAAUUAUCUUUCUACAUCAUGUGACAAAAUUUCACAAAAUAUGUGUGUAAGAUCCAGCCCUGCCGCCCCCAAACAACAACAACAAAAACCCAGUUCAGAAAGGCCACAAUAUUUUUGCUAUACUGAGCGUUACACUUCGUCUGCCCAUAAGAGGUCAGUGCCUCAUGGGAGUCCUCGUUCAAACGCCUCCUGUCCUCAUUCCUUGCCAGAGGACAAGGUGCUUGCCGGAAUCCGGUUCCUGCUCUGUUUUGUUCAGCACACAUGGGCUGACUGGUGCCGCUGGGAGGUCGGGAGCGUCAGUCCCCUGGCAAUAACCAAGCAGUGGGCAGACUGUGGGGAAAAUGGUAAAAACGGCAGUUUUUCAGGCAGAUACCAUACGUGGAAGCAUUAUGUAUGGGAAUCUCUUGCAGAACUAGACUGUCUUGAAUAAAUGUCUCACCAUGCCAUUUUAGCAGUUCUGUUUCCAAAGUAGAUACCUAAGAGAAAGUCAAAUCCAUUGUGCAGGUUUUCCCCAAAAUUACACACACACACACAAAAAAAAUAUAUUGAAAGAGUACGAAACGGAGCAUUGUUAACUGAUUAGUAAUUGGUAUCUUAAAUUUUGAAGUCUUUCACAAAGUAGUAGUUAAAAUGCCUGCGACAAAAUGAAAUGCCAGUUUUAUUGGAUUAGCUAUCCUGUAAUUUAUGGUCUGUAUUUAAAGAUAAACCCGUGGUGAAAGUUUACUUAGUUAUACGCACCUUUUAAAAAAGCAGUAAGAGAAAACGUUGUGUAGAAUGUCAUAAGACCAUGUGAAUCUUGUAACUGGAACCAACACUUUCAAAACCCUUUCUUAAGUUGAAGUUUCUAAUCAGAUACUUUAAGAGAUUAUCUAUCUAGCUGCCUAUAGACACCUACGACCAUAAGAAAUGAGAGAAAGAGCAAGUGAUUACUAUCUGAAAAACUCACCGCAAAACACUAUGAAAAGCACCAAUAUGCACGAAGGUCUGAUUUGCAUGUUUAUUUCUCGCUGACUGAUAGCGUUCACCUCACAAGGCUUUUCUGCUUUCGCAGAGAUUUCUCAAUAGGCUGUUAAUUACCCACGGUAGAUGGAGAAAAGAGCAUCAUCCUCAUCU